This 255-nucleotide ribosomal RNA is filed under the name uncultured bacterium. Its description in RNAcentral is "partial 16S ribosomal RNA". It matches the Rfam family "Bacterial small subunit ribosomal RNA", at positions 524 to 776 of the family's 1533-position model. The record is from RNAcentral.
UACGUAGGGGGCUAGCGUUGUCCGGAAUCAUUGGGCGUAAAGAGCGUGUAGGCGGCCCGGUAAGUCCGCUGUAAAAGUCAAAGGGCUCAACCUUUGAAUGUCAGUGGAUACUGCCGGGCUAGAGUCCGGAAGAGGCGAGUGGAACUCCUGGUGUAGCGGUGGAAUGCGCAGAUAUCAGGAAGAACACCAACGGCGAAGGCGGGUUGCUGGGCUGAUGACUGACGCUGGAGGCGCGAAAGCCAGGGAGCGAACGGG